Molecule: transfer RNA, 76 nt
Filed under: Gammaproteobacteria bacterium
Lineage: Bacteria; Pseudomonadati; Pseudomonadota; Gammaproteobacteria
Description: tRNA-His
Rfam family: tRNA
About the family: Transfer RNA (tRNA) molecules are approximately 80 nucleotides in length. Their secondary structure includes four short double-helical elements and three loops (D, anti-codon, and T loops).
Source: RNAcentral
GUGGACGUAGCUCCGUUGGUAGAGCCCUGGAUUGUGAUUCCAGUCGUUGUGGGUUCGAGCCCCAUCGUCCACCCCA